UCGCUUUGGCAGCACAUGUACUAACAUUGAACAACGCAGAGAUUAGCAUGGCUCCUGCGCAAGGAUGAUACACUGCACUCCCAAAGCUACUGUACCAUUUU
Otolemur garnettii (small-eared galago) is the source of this 101-nucleotide small nuclear RNA. NCBI's taxonomy places the organism in Eukaryota, Metazoa, Chordata, Mammalia, Primates, Galagidae. The record is from Ensembl.